UGGGUCCAACCUCCCACCCGUGUUUAUUUUACCUUGUUGCUUCGGCGGGCCCGCCUUAACUGGCCGCCGGGGGGCUUACGCCCCCGGGCCCGCGCCCGCCGAAGACACCCUCGAACUCUGUCUGAAGAUUGUAGUCUGAGUGAAAAUAUAAAUUAUUUAAAACUUUCAACAACGGAUCUCUUGGUUCCGGCAUCGAUGAAGAACGCAGCGAAAUGCGAUACGUAAUGUGAAUUGCAAAUUCAGUGAAUCAUCGAGUCUUUGAACGCACAUUGCGCCCCCUGGUAUUCCGGGGGGCAUGCCUGUCCGAGCGUCAUUUCUGCCCUCAAGCACGGCUUGUGUGUUGGGCCCCGUCCUCCGAUCCCGGGGGACGGGCCCGAAAGGCAGCGGCGGCACCGCGUCCGGUCCUCGAGCGUAUGGGGCUUUGUCACCCGCUCUGUAGGCCCGGCCGGCGCUUGCCGAUCAACCCAAAUUUUUAUCCAGGUUGACCUCGGAUCAGGUAGGGAUACCCGCUGAACUUAAGCAUAUCAAUAAGCAGAGGAAUA
This 542-nucleotide ribosomal RNA is filed under the name Penicillium chrysogenum. Its description in RNAcentral is "eukaryotic LSU rRNA". The stretch from base 161 to 313 matches the Rfam family "5.8S ribosomal RNA". Lineage: Eukaryota; Fungi; Ascomycota; Eurotiomycetes; Eurotiales; Aspergillaceae. The record is from RNAcentral.